Molecule: unclassified non-coding RNA, 820 nt
Filed under: Hevea brasiliensis (rubber tree)
Lineage: Eukaryota; Viridiplantae; Streptophyta; Magnoliopsida; Malpighiales; Euphorbiaceae
Source: RNAcentral
CCUAUCGCCAACAGGCUUAGUGAAAAUCUGGAGCAAGGUCCCCUGAUCAUCCCUAUCCACCAAAAUUCCCAACUCCUCACACUCCUUGAUCUGCUCAUCAGUCAAAACAUCCCCUACCCUGUUCUUCAAAUUCCGAUAAUAUGUUGGCGGCGGAGACGGCAUAAAGUCAAAUCCUCCAACGCCGCUCCUCCGCCGCAUUUCCCUUAAGGUCUUGAAUAUAUCUUCACUCACAAGCGCCAAAUGCUGCAGACCAGCUCCUUCAUUGUGCUCCAAGUAUGUUUGUAUUUGGCUUUUCCUCUUGGUGCCAAACACCGGCUCAUUCAGUGGCAGCAAAACUGUCUCUUCAUUAUUCGCCAAAACCAACGAGUUCAAUCCGCUCUCACUAGUCCCCACAUCCUCCGCCGUGAACUCCGCAAACUCAUGGAAACCGGUGAACUCCUUGACGUAAGAGACCGCUGGAGCUAAUUCCGGCACGUUUCCAACCGCAUGGUCCAAUCGCCGAAUCCCGUAAUCCAAAGGAAACGAUGAAGCCUCAUCUACUGAUUCAAAUUUUGGCAGAAACCAACUAUCGGGACUAGAAUCAUUAAGGUUAGGGUUUGAGUUCUUGUAACUAAUAUAUCGCAAAACUACAUCCCCAUAUAAAUGAACUUCCGCAACAACGGCACGAUUAUCGAGCGUUAUUGGUCCGCCCAUGGGUAAGGCGCCGCGCGCGACGCUAGUGUUGUACGCGAUUUCUGCGUCCUCAACUUCUAUGGCGAUGGCUCGAACACCAAGUCCGUGCUUAGCUGAGAAAUUCCGGCACGCUUCAUGACUGAAGGUU